This 76-nucleotide transfer RNA is filed under the name Hyphomicrobiales bacterium. RNAcentral's name for it is "tRNA-Asn". It matches the Rfam family "tRNA". Rfam says of the family: Transfer RNA (tRNA) molecules are approximately 80 nucleotides in length. Lineage: Bacteria; Pseudomonadati; Pseudomonadota; Alphaproteobacteria; Hyphomicrobiales. The record is from RNAcentral.
UUCGGCUUAGCUCAGUUGGUAGAGUACCCGACUGUUAAUCGGGUUGUCCCAGGUUCGAGCCCUGGAGCCGGAGCCA